Molecule: non-coding RNA, 612 nt
Organism: Peromyscus eremicus (cactus mouse)
Lineage: Eukaryota; Metazoa; Chordata; Mammalia; Rodentia; Cricetidae
Source: the annotation of a RefSeq genome assembly
AUGAAGUUGCCUGUUCUGCUGUUAGUGCUGCUGUUGCUCUGGAUGCCUGCUUCCAGAGGUGAUGUUAUGAUGACCCAAACUCCAACCUCCCUGCCUGUUAGCCUUGGAGAUCAAACUUCCAUUUCUUGCAGGUCUAGUCAGAGCCUCCUACUAAGUAGUGGACACACAUAUUUGCAUUGGUACCUGCAGAAGCCAGGCCAGUUUCCACAGAUCCUGGUAUAUAAGGUUUCCAACAGAUUUUCUGGGGUUUCAGACAGGUUCAGUGGCAGUGGGUCAGGCACAGAUUUCACACUCAAGAUCAGCAGAGUGGAGCCUGAGGAUGUAGGAGUUUAUUACUGCCUCCAAACUUCACAUUAUCCUCCCACAUAUGGAGGAGGUACAAUACUGGAUUCUGCUGUCCUCAGGCAAAGGGGGAGAAUUCUGUCCAUCUUGGUUUUAACAUUUCAGGAUAAGUCAUUAAACUUUCUCAAAAGCAAAAGCCUAGUGUCUAAAUGUUUAGGGCAGUAUCAGUCACAGCAUGCUGAAAUAAAUGGCUAUUAUAUGAAUUUCAAUGUUGGAGCUGAAAAAAGACAAGAUAAGGAAGUAAACUGGAGACAGAACAGAAACAAGUGA